Molecule: ribosomal RNA, 165 nt
Filed under: uncultured bacterium
Lineage: Bacteria
Description: partial 16S ribosomal RNA
Rfam family: Bacterial small subunit ribosomal RNA
Source: RNAcentral
UAGGGAAUCUUCCACAAUGGACGCAAGUCUGAUGGAGCAACGCCGCGUGAGUGAAGAAGGGUUUCGGCUCGUAAAACUCUGUUGUUAAAGAAGAACAUAUCUGAGAGUAACUGUUCAGGUAUUGACGGUUAUUUAACCAGAAAGCCACGGCUAACUACGUGCCAG